This 459-nucleotide ribosomal RNA is filed under the name uncultured bacterium. Its description in RNAcentral is "partial 16S ribosomal RNA". It matches the Rfam family "Bacterial small subunit ribosomal RNA", at positions 338 to 795 of the family's 1533-position model. The record is from RNAcentral.
CCUACGGGGGGCAGCAGUGAGGAAUAUUGGUCAAUGGGCGGGAGCCUGAACCAGCCAAGUAGCGUGAAGGAUGACAGCCCUAUGGGUUUUAAACUUCUUUUAUAAGGGAAUAAAGUGCCCCACGUGUGGGGUUUUGUAUGUACCUUAUGAAUAAGCAUCGGCUAAUUCCGUGCCAGCAGCCGCGGUAAUACGGAAGAUGCGAGCGUUAUCCGGAUUUAUUGGGUUUAAAGGGUGCGUAGGCGGAAUAUCAAGUCAGCGGUAAAACUUCGGGGCUCAACCCUGUCGUGCCGUUGAAACUGAUGUUCUGGAGUUGGCGAGAAGUAGGCGGAAUGCGUGGUGUAGCGGUGAAAUGCAUAGAUAUCACGUAGAACUCCGAUUGCGAAGGCAGCAUACCGGAGCCCAACUGACGCUGAAGCACGAAAGCGUGGGUAUCGAACAGGAUUAGAUACCCUGGUAGUC